This 1873-nucleotide long non-coding RNA is filed under the name Homo sapiens (human). Its description in RNAcentral is "HSALNT0303258". The record is from RNAcentral. Lineage: Eukaryota; Metazoa; Chordata; Mammalia; Primates; Hominidae.
UUUCACCUCCCUGAGAGAAUUGCCUUGUUUGUGAAAUACUACAGAAAAACCUGUAUUUUCUCCAGAAAAUGAAAGGUCUUGGCCUGAGUAAAUCAAGGCAGAAAACUCACCCCCGUGAAAGCUGCAGCUCUGAGAGUGUGUGGGCAGGGCUUCAACAGAAUACCUGUGGCUGCACUUACAAAAGGCAGCCAGAAGGACCCGUCCAUUCUGGAAAGUACCUUUAGUCUGAAAGGUACAAAUCAGAACUUUCACCACAUUCCAUCUGGCACUCACUGGUGGUGCCAACACCUCAAAAACCCUGCCGGGGCCAUUUGUCACCAUGUGGACACAGACAGACCACCAGUGAAAGUGGAAUUUUUGAAUGAGCUUGAAUGACCUGCCUAUAUGUGUAGACAGCCAUGGUCACUUUUUCUCCGUAGGAUUAGAUGUGCUGAUUCUAAUGUGGUUCACAUUAGGCUAUUUUCUUUUAAAAGUGAAAUUUCUUUUGGAAGCCUGGACAUUUCUAAGACGACUUCACAUCUAUUCACUCAUCUUGCCUUCCAAAACAGCUGCUCACAAUCUGAAUAUUAGACUACAAAUAGCAAAAACAAACCUCUGUUGUUAUUAUUACUAUAUUAUUAGGGUUUUUUUAGAAUCCCAAGGAAUUCUUUAUAUAAUGUAGAGUAAGCUAUUAGAAGGAAAUCAUUAUUUUCAAUGUGGUUCAUCCCAUGGAGGUAUGGAUGGAGAAUCCCUGCUCUUUCCUGGAAAUGGAUGCUGGUUCUUUAGAACAGUGAGUCUUCUUCAAACUGCAUAAAAUAAUCAUUAUGACAUAAUCAGCAGCAGUGUGUUACACUCUUGUCAUUUUUCCCUAGUGCAUUUCCAGGUCUCUAUCAGCAGAAUUGGAAUUACUUCAUCAUUUUCAGCAUUUCUUUUUCCUUUCCAGCAUUUAUUGCAGAAAAAAUAUGAGGCUUGCUGGUAGUAUUCCCAGGUGACAAAUGUGCACCCAACACCCUACAGAAAAGAAGAACCAUAAAAUAAUUAAUUAUUCCAUUGUAACUCCUGCCUGGAAAACAUCUGAAAGAAGUCACUAGAUUCAGCCCACAUUCAAGAUGAGAAAUACCAGAAGGCAGAGAACACUGAGGCUGUUUUAGAGGCUGUCAACCCCAGGGAGACAGACAGCAAAUAAGUAAGCAAAUAAAUAAAAAUGGAAGGUGAUAAUAAGUGCAAUGAAAAGAAAUGAAGCAGAGUAAAGAAUCAAGAGUAGCAGUUGAGGGGAUGCUUGGAUGUUUUCACACCACUCUGACACAUGGAUGGAAGGUUAGAAGACAACAAAGGAAUGGGCUGGGAAGGACUCCAAAAGCAGAAUCAGAGAUUAUAUCAUUCCUUGGAAAUGGAGAAAAGGAUCAAAAAAGCUGAAUAAAAGGCAAACAUGGAGGAACAGAGUUUGGAGCAAUACCCUGACUUACAUUCAGUACUGUUAAUGGCUCCAGCAUCUUGAAACAAACCAAUUUUGGAUUUUCAGUGAAAAAGAAAGCCAACCCAGAAAAUCACUUAGGAAGAUCCAGACAACAGAUGGUACGCCAAAAGUGAACAAUGAUCUCAGUAACUGAGGCCUCAGAGACAAGAUGAUCCAUUCCACAGCUGGAUAUUGUAAAACUUGGGUACCAGUGGUGCGCAGAUCUGACCAUUAAAACUAUGUACUUCUUGAGUCACAAACCAGUGUGUGUGACUGGUUAAAACCCAGUCACAACCUGGAAAAAGUUGUGGAAAGCACCUGGGGACUGAGGAGAAGCAAACUUCCUUAGGUUUACACAGUAUGGCUGGCACCUUAAGCAAGUUAAAAUCGGUCUCAAUUCCCUGCAGAAUAAGGGCAACACCAAUUAUGCUACCUACU